UACGUAGGUGGCAAGCGUUGUUCGGAAUUAUUGGGCGUAAAGGGCGCGUAGGCGGCCUUGUAAGUCAGCUGUGAAAGCCCGGGGCUCAACCCCGGAGGGUCGGCUGAUACUGCAGGGCUAGAGUACGGAAGAGGUAGCUGGAAUUCCCGGUGUAGCGGUGGAAUGCGCAGAUAUCAGGAGGAACACCAAUAGCGAAGGCAGCUCGCUGGGACGGUACUGACGCUGAGGUGCGAAAGCGUGGGGAGCAAACAGG
RNAcentral lists this ribosomal RNA (253 nucleotides) under uncultured bacterium. Its description in RNAcentral is "partial 16S ribosomal RNA". It matches the Rfam family "Bacterial small subunit ribosomal RNA", at positions 524 to 776 of the family's 1533-position model. The record is from RNAcentral.